GCCAUUUUGGUUCAGUGGUUAGAGCGUUGGCCUGUGGAGUGACAAGUGGCAGGAUCAAUUCCUGUCAAGGGGCA
Molecule: non-coding RNA, 74 nt
Organism: Myotis davidii
Lineage: Eukaryota; Metazoa; Chordata; Mammalia; Chiroptera; Vespertilionidae
Source: Rfam